UGUGGAUUCGUUUUGGAGCUUAAGAUUUUGGUAAGCAAACUAAGCGUAUAUUACGCUAAAUCAAGGAGCGUGUGCAGCGGCCAUAGCGCGGUCGUUGCAUUGGCACGGCCCCCGCACACCCAGCAGAUAAGCAGCGUGCAAUCCCAAGAGGUCCCAGCAAGUCCAUGUAACAAAAGCUGUCAAAAUGCACUAGACCGCUGUUCCACAGAGAACCCUUGCCAGCCUCAAGAACUUGGUCUCGACGGCUGAACGCUAACAAUAACGACGUGUUGUGCAAAGCUUCAGCGCUGACCUGAUGGACGAAGAAGUCCUCGCCACCACCUUCAGGUGUGAUGAAUCCAAAGCCCUUAGUGGCGUUGAACCACUUCACGGUUCCCCGUUGCCUGAGCUGCUCGCCCAUUCCCGCGACCCUCCACGCUCAGUCGGCGUUCGGGGCCAGCUUUCGGCAGCUUACAGGGCAAGAGCUGCCCGUCUGUUGCAGAACCAGGUCGGAGCGAACAGGACUGCGCCGACGACGCUGCAGUUUCGAGGAGAGAUGAUGUACGGCAGAGAUCUGUUGUACUUUGGAGCCCCGCAAUUCCGUUUCUUUCUGAUUAUGGAUAUGGUUGUCAAGGGCGGCACAAAUCCUGGUCGGAUGAGGAUGUGCGGUUAAUGGAAUUUCGUGUUUUUGUGUCGGUGUAGAGUCUCAGACUUUUGCAGAUGCCGUCGUCUAACGAAAGCUUUACCCAAGG
RNAcentral lists this long non-coding RNA (731 nucleotides) under Volvox carteri. Its description in RNAcentral is "long non-coding RNA (VCAR_LNC000134)". Lineage: Eukaryota; Viridiplantae; Chlorophyta; Chlorophyceae; Chlamydomonadales; Volvocaceae. The record is from RNAcentral.